ACGGGAGGCAGCAGUGGGGAAUAUUGCACAAUGGGGGAAACCCUGAUGCAGCAACGCCGCGUGAGCGAAGAAGGCCUUUGGGUCGUAAAGCUCUGUCCUAAGGGAAGAACAAAUGACGGUACCUUAGGAGGAAGCCCCGGCUAACUACGUGCCAGCAGCCGCGGUAAUA
Molecule: ribosomal RNA, 169 nt
Filed under: uncultured bacterium
Lineage: Bacteria
Description: partial 16S ribosomal RNA
Rfam family: Bacterial small subunit ribosomal RNA
Source: RNAcentral